CAGUCGCCGCGGGAAUACGGAGGGUGCAAGCGUUAAUCGGAAUUACUGGGCGUAAAGCGCACGCAGGCGGUCUGUCAAGUCAGAUGUGAAAUCCCCGGGCUUAACCUGGGAACUGCAUUUGAAACUGGCAGGCUAGAGUCUUGUAGAGGGGGGUAGAAUUCCAGGUGUAGCGGUGAAAUGCGUAGAGAUCUGGAGGAAUACCGGUGGCGAAGGCGGCCCCCUGGACAAAGACUGACGCUCAGGUGCGAAAGCGUGGGGAGCAAACAGGAUUAGAUACCCCUGUAGUCCCUGUCUCUUAUAU
This 301-nucleotide ribosomal RNA is filed under the name uncultured bacterium. RNAcentral describes it as "partial 16S ribosomal RNA". It matches the Rfam family "Bacterial small subunit ribosomal RNA", at positions 509 to 809 of the family's 1533-position model. The record is from RNAcentral.